UCGUGUCUUCCAUGAUGUGAUCGGUGAUUUUAGCAUUAUACUUUGAUACCAAAUAUAUUGUAUCAAAAUAUAAAUUCUGGAAAAUUCAUUCUUGAACAACAUCAAACUUCUUGCUUCAGUCUCUAGAGCCUCUUCUCCAUCGCAAAUCCAUGGCGGCUUUUCUGGUGGACGUUUUCUCCACAACAAAUCGCUUGAUUUGAAAGUCAAUACAAAUUGAUUGGUCAUCUUUUCAUCGAUCAUGGCAAUAAAAUUCAUGUGGGGAACUGCAACAUCGUAUUGAAAGGAAGAGAGACUAUCCUUGAAUCCCAAUGUAAAUAAAGUUCUUCUUCAGUAAAGAGAAGAAUAAGAGACACAUAAUCAUUGAAAGUCUGAUCAAAUAUUUGAUCAUAACUAUGGAGUGGGCAAUCCAAAGAAGACACUGGCCUUUUGCAUCGCCACAAAACUGAUAUGUCAUCACUUUUUAAAGGAAAAAGGUAAGUCUGAAUUGAUUGAAUUUAAUGAUAUAAAAAAAAAACUGUGGUACGUUGCAUCUUUUCACCGAAUCGUCUCCAUCUCAAAACAAUACAACUCUUAGAUGAAACAUCCCUUAUCAAUCUAUAUAUAUGUGUGUGUUUUUAAAGACUCAUUUCUGUUAUCGUUUUCCAUCUCCUCUCUAAUUAUUUUUUUCACCCAAAAUCUCAGAAUUGAUUUAUUUGUUUGGCUCUCUAAAGCGUGUUUACAAUGAAUUUUCACUGUUAUUGUUCAUCAUAAUCCCAGAUAUUUUUCUCAAAAACCACUAUCAACGUCUUUUCCUUUGAACAAAUUUGGGGUUUCCAUCAUUUAAUUUUUUAAAUAUUUACAACAUAUCUAAUUUAUAUGUGUUGUUGUUCUUGCAUUUUGUUAGAGUCUAAGAUUAAUGCUUUCCAAAUUACGAUGUACAGAAAAAGGGGUUGUCUGUCAUUCAGUAAAUCUAUUAGAGGAAAACCGGUCGGUGAUUACAGUCAUGAGUUGAUCAAACAAUGUGUUUCUCAAUUGGAAAGUUUUAUUCUGGUGGGAAUUAUCAUCAAUUUCUUUUCAAUGGGGAUGGAUUAAUUCCACUGGAAUAUUUAAAUCUGUAUUGGCGUCACAUUUUAAACUCAAGAAUCCCCCAUGUCAAUAUAUUGUUCACAAAAAAAAAAAUUGUUCAUUCUUUUUUUUUUGUCACGGAAAAUUGUUCACUCAAGAACUGUAAAUUUACAUUGUUUUCUACUGCCUGAUUUGGAGAUGUGCGAACUACUGAGAUUAUAAAACUCAUUAAAAUAUCUUUUUAUUUAUAUAUUAUUUCUCGGAAACAUAUCCAAUUGUUGGUUAGAGACAAGUAAAUAUGAUGUAGAAGCCUAGAGUUUUAAAUAUAUUCAAUUCUUAACGAAAACUAAAGGCAAACACACAUCUUACGAUUUUUUUUACAACAAACAUAUCUUACAAUUUUUUUCUUUAUUCUAAGUUAUUUACAUCUAUAUAUAUUUUCGUUAAUGACCAUUUAUUUAUCAAAAGUAGCAUCUUUUAUCACUUGUGUCGUUUCAUAUAUAUAGGAAAUUAACAGUUUAAAUUUAAACUUUUUUCCAAGAUAUUUAGCGAACAUAAGUAGUUGACUUUUAUUAAUCUUGUCUAGCAUUCAAUUAAAUUUAAAUAGCUAUUUACUGGUUUACACAUCUGUAAACUAGAAGUUUCAAGAUCAAAACUAUUAUAGGUUGAAAUUCUUAGGGUCCGAAUGGUGACGGCGGAUUUGAUAAUAAAAGUGGUACGAAAUUAAAGUGAGGUACGGUACAACUGCGGUUUAAGCAGAAUUAAAGUGCGGUACGGUACAACUGUGGUUUUAUGUAAAAAGCGGUGGAAAAUAUUGUUUGAUUGGUGACAUGUAUUUGCGGUAUUGGAUAAUUAUUUAAUUUAUAAAAUAAUAAUAGUAUAGAAUAUAAAAUAUAGUUAAGUAUUAUAAAUAAUAUAUCAAUAUGAUAAAUUUAUUUUAAAAUUAUUUUUUCUUAAAUAUUUAUAUUUUAAAAGUGAAAACAAAAUUAUAUUAAAAUAUUAAAUAACAAAAUAGUUAAACACAAUACAAUAAGUACAUAUUAUUUAGAUAAUAUUAAUGAUAAUAAAUUUUUAAAAUUCAAACUAAAAAUACAGACAAAUUUUACAUGAGUACAUAUUCUUUAAAUAAUAUUAAUAAUGUAGAAUAAUAUGUGAUCGGUGAAAAUGUUAUGAAAUACUAAUUAUUAAUAAAAUGAUAUUAAUAAAAUUCUAAAUUUAAAUUAUUUACUUACUAUUAAAAUAAUAUUUAGUCAAUUUUGUUUAUUAUAAAUAGAUAUAUAUAUAUAUAAUUUAAAUAAUAUAUUUAAAAUGUGAAGAACAUACGUAAAAGUUAAAAAUAAAAUGGAUAUAUAUAUAUAUAUAUAUUAUUUUAUUAUAAUUACUAUUAAUUAUAAUUACAGUGAGGAAGUUUACAAUUAAAAAACACAUAUGCAUACGAGGAAUACAACAGCAUGCAAUUCAAGUGAUCCUUAUUAGCGUAUUAAUUAUUUAAGGUAGUAUGUUAUAAGACUUGAAGUGGUGGUAAAGUGUAAAUGUCCAAGGAAAUACAACAUGCUGUUGUUAUGCUUCAUUAACUAAUUAAGAAAUUUUACACAACAUUAUUAUUUAUUAAUAAAUAAAAUAGCUACAACAGUUCAAACGAAAAGAGAAAAAAGUAAAAACGCACAUGAACCGCUAGGUAAUUGACGAAGUCGUUGUUAUGGUUAGUGCGUUUUUCUACACUAUACGCUUUCAUGAACUCGAAUUUUAUGAUCGGUGACAUAUGUUAAUUCCGUCUUGCACUAGUGUAAUUCUGUCCUGCUUUUUUGUUUCCAUUCAUAACCUUAGAUUAUAAGUAAAAUUAUUAGUUUAAAAAUUGUUAAAAUAUCCUAAUAAGUGUUUUCUAUAAAUAUUAGUUUUAAAAAUUGUGUCUUCUCAUUAUAUAAGAUAUAUUUUUUAAAUUGUUAAAAUAUAUCUAUAAGUGUCUCUCUAUAAUUAUAUGUUUUUUUAUCUUAAAAAGAGCAUUGUUUUUAAAAGUGUCGUCAAAAUAUAUAAGUAUAUAUCUUUUCAUCUUAGUAUAUUUUAUUUUAUUUAAAAAAACUGCAUUGGUUUAAGAGAAAUUAUCGAGGUGUAUAAGAAUAUGUUUCAUACAAAUUUCAUUUAUUAAAAAAGUUGCUAAAAUGUCUAAAAAUAUAUUUUAUCCAAAUAAAUGUCAAAAAUUGUAACUUUCAUUAUAUCAAAGUGUCUUUUUAUCUUAAAAAUUGCAUUAUUUUUUAAAAAAUGUCCUAAAAAAUGCAAGUAUGUAUCUUUUCAUCUUGAAAGUAUGUCUUUUCAUUUUUAAGAAUUUCAUUAGUUUAAAAGAAGUUGUUAAAAUGCAUAAGAAUGUGUCUUUUCAUCCUACAUAUUGCAUUUGCUAAAAAAUAAAUGUCAAAUGUUGUAAUUUUUUCAUCCUAACAAAGUAUUAUUUUUCAUUUAAAAUGGCAUUGCUUUAAAAAAAUGUUGUCAAAAUAUAUAAGUAAAAUAUCAUCAUCUUAACGAUGUGUCUUUUCAUUGUAUGAAUUGCAUUGGUUUUAAAGAAAUUGUUAAAAUGUAUAAGGAUGUAUCUUUUAAUCCUAAAAUUGUAUUUCUUAAGAAAAGUUGUCAAAAUGUCUACAAUGUAUAUUUUCUUUAAAUAAAUGUCAAAGGUUGUAACUUUUUAUCCUAACAAAAUGUCUUUUCAUCUGAAAAAUGGCACUACUUUAAAAAUUGUUGUCACAUAUAUAAGUAUGUAACAUUUAAUCUUAAUAAUGUGUCAUUUCAUUUUAAGAAUUGCAUUGGUUUAAUGUAAGUUCCUAAGAUGUAUAAUAAUAUGUCUUUUCAUCCUAAAAUUUUCAUUUGUUAAAUUUUUUUUAUCAAAAUGGGUAAAAAUGUAUAUUUUCUCCAAAUAAAUAACUUUUGAUCUUAACAAUGUGUCUUUUCAUAUUAAAAAUUGCGUUCUUUAAAAAAAUAUUGUCAAAAUAUAUAAGUAUGGAUCCUUUCAUAUUAACAAUGUUACUUUCAUUUUAGAAAUUAAAUUGGUUUAAAAGAAGUUGUUAAAAUGUAUAAGGAUGUGUUUUUUCAUCCUAAUAUUUUUCAUUUGUUAAAAAAAGUUAUCAAAACGUCUAAAGAUAUCGCUGCAACUGUUGGUGACAAUAAUUUUAGUGAAGAACCAAUGCAAUCUUUGGUGAUAAAUCACUGCAACUGUUAGUGAUUGUAGUAUUUGGUAAUAAACCAUUGUAACUUCUAAUGUUAAUUAUUGCAACUAUUAACUAACUAUUGCAAUGUUUGAUAUCAACCAUUGUAACCUUUAGUCAUCUAUAUAAGUGAUAUACCAUAGAUUUUACUUACUUUCAGCCAUGAUAUAUAAGUUUUUAAAGAUAUAAUUAUUACGUUUUGGAGUCUUUUUUGAGUAUUUACAAGUUCAGGUACGUUCUGGAGAUAUAUGGUGACUUUGGAGUUUUUUGAGGUGCAGAACUGCACAUACGUGUCAUAUGUUUAGCUAUGUAUGGAGACCUUUCCACCGUUAUAUUGAGCCCGUCGUUUAACACAAUAUAGAGCUUUGCGUUAGCUUUCCAAUUCCGCCAGUUUGAGGUCAAUCAGCAUCUUGUAGCAGAAGUUAUACACGUUUUAUUGAAUAUUGGUCAGUCUACCUCGCGAGAGGAAGCUGUCGAGGAGAUGAAUGACUGUCGAUCGAUGAAACAGCAUUAGCAUCGGUCGACGGUGAUGCCAGAACGUGGGCCAAUCAUUAUUUCGAGAGCGACUGAAGCCCAUAAGCCACAGAAAAUUACCAAAAUACCCAUGGACGAACAUAAAUCCUAUUUAUGUUAUUUAUAAGGCAUUGUUACCGGCUACGCUAUCUAAGCUUUCUUUAAUUCAUAGUUCUUAGUUAUGAGAGAAAGGAGGAACUCCUUCAGAGUCCUCCUGCAACUCCUAUGGUUUUAUUAUUGCUUUUAUCUAUUCUAUUAUAUCUAUUCAUCUAUGAUUUAUGUGACAAACUUCAUGUCUGAAUAGAUCCACCUGUUAGGUUUAGGGUUCAGAUAGUCAUGAGGAAUUUGUCCAAAAUAUAGAACUGCUAAGUUGUUAGAAUAUGAAUCAAUGGAAUUGUUCUUAAUGCAUGUGUUCUAAAAUAGCUAAUUAGGACCUUGCCUAUAGAUAUUAGGGCGUAAGCGGAAGCUUGGUUCUCUGUCUGAACUAAUUUACACUGCGCUAGAAUUGCUAGAAACAAGCGAAAGCUGAUUUAGGAAUCCUAGUAAACUUAUCAAACCUGUUCGCUAAAGCUUGCUAGAAGGGUCGUCGAUCGACGACUCGGUAGUUGUAUCGAUCGACAGUCUGAAAGAUGUAUCGAUCGACAGCUCGUUGAUAGCGUCGAUUGACACUUUCUCAAGAUCAAUAUGCUAGAGUUGAGAUCUUAAAUCUAGUAAUAGAUAAUCUAAACAUGCGAGAGUUGAUAGAUUAUUGCUUAGUUUUAGUUCUAGAAUAUCCAACCUUAGUCUCUAUACUACUAUAAUCCUGAUUGCCUGAAUAGAAACCCUAAGCCUAGUAAAUCAUCCUUCCAUCAAACCACAAAUCAAUCAAUCGAGCAAUUAACUUGCUCACAAAAUUUGCAACUUUACAUUUAAUCAUUAAAUCAACCUAGCUUAAUCAAUCUGAUUAGAUUUAUUUGGUUCUCUAGCUCCAUGUAGAUUCAAUUCCUAAGUACUACAACUCGACCUCUUAUUUCAGAGAGUAUAAAUUACUCUUUAGGGUAAUUUGAGUGAUAUCAAAUUUGGCGUCGUUGCCGAGAAGCUUUUGAUCGCCAUUAGAUCUUGUUUAGUUUGAUUUAGUCUAAGUUUUACUACUGUUAAAAAAACUGAUUAAAAAUUUUCUUUUGUUUCAGGUACAUACAUCUUAGCUAAAUGACUAUAACAAAGCGUUGAAUGGGAGGCAACCCACUAUUAAGUAAUUUCAUUCAGUUUAUGUUAGAUUGUUACAGUUUUUUGUUUUUAUUUUUAUGCAAGUCAAAAAAUAAAAAUGAACAGUACCGACGGUACUGUAGCGGCACCGAGCGACACUGUAGCAAGAAAAUCGAGCGACACUGUAGCAAGAAAAUUGAACGACACUGUAGCAAGAUCAUCGACCGACACUUUAACAGAAAAUCAGGAGUUACUGUAGUUGCGAUACUGUAGCAGGGCUACUGUAGCAGUCACUGUUCAUCGAAAAAAAAUUGAAUUCGUUUUAUUAGUUAUCUAUUACUAACUUUUAGUGUUUUAGUUAUGUUAGGUAAAAAGAAAAGAUCCAAGGAAGACGAGGAUCGACGAUGGCUGCGCAUCAUCAAUCGACAGAGCAUCACUAGAAUCGAUCUAUCGCCAC
RNAcentral lists this long non-coding RNA (6390 nucleotides) under Brassica napus (rape). RNAcentral describes it as "long non-coding RNA (BNAP_LNC007791)". Lineage: Eukaryota; Viridiplantae; Streptophyta; Magnoliopsida; Brassicales; Brassicaceae. The record is from RNAcentral.